Molecule: ribosomal RNA, 517 nt
Filed under: uncultured bacterium
Lineage: Bacteria
Description: bacterial SSU rRNA
Rfam family: Bacterial small subunit ribosomal RNA
Source: RNAcentral
AGAGUUUGAUCCUGGCUUAGGAUGAACGCUAGCGACAGGCUUAACACAUGCAAGUCGAGGGCAGCAUAGAAGUAGCAAUACUUGGUGGCGACCGGCGCACGGGUGAGUAACGCGUAUGCAACCUACCUAUCAGAGGGGAAUAACCCGGCGAAAGUCGGACUAAUACCGCAUAAAACAGGGGCACCGCAUGGUGAUAUUUGUUAAAGAAAUUCGCUGAUAGAUGGGCAUGCGUUCCAUUAGGUAGUUGGUGAGGUAACGGCUCACCAAGCCGACGAUGGAUAGGGGAACUGAGAGGUUGGUCCCCCACACUGGUACUGAGACACGGACCAGACUCCUACGGGAGGCAGCAGUGAGGAAUAUUGGUCAAUGGGCGGGAGCCUGAACCAGCCAAGUCGCGUGAAAGGAAGAAGGAUCUAUGGUUCGUAAACUUCUUUUGCAGGGGAAUAAAGUGCAGGACGUGUCCUGUUUUGUAUGUACCCUGAGAAUAAGGAUCGGCUAACUCCGUGCCAGCCGCAGC